Molecule: ribosomal RNA, 994 nt
Filed under: Chloroflexota bacterium
Lineage: Bacteria; Bacillati; Chloroflexota
Description: bacterial SSU rRNA
Rfam family: Bacterial small subunit ribosomal RNA
Source: RNAcentral
AAUUGGAGAGUUUGAUCCUGGCUCAGAGCGAACGCUGGCGGCGUGCCUAACACAUGCAAGUCGUACGAGAAAGCCUUCGGGCAAGUAGAGUGGCGAACGGGUGAGUAACACGUGGGUAACCUACCUUUGGAUUUGGGAUAACAUUUCGAAAGAGGUGCUAAUACCAAAUAUGACCACAGAGUCUAAUGACUCAGGGGUGAAAGAUGGCCUCUCCAUGGAAGCUAUCGUCCAUUGAUGGGCCCGCGCUCCAUUAGCUUGUUGGUAGGGUAAUGGCCUACCAAGGCGACGAUGGAUAGCCGACUUGAGAGGGUGAUCGGCCACACUGGGACUGAGAUACGGCCCAGACUCUUACGGGAGGCAGCAGUGGGGAAUUUUGCGCAAUGGGCGAAAGCUUGACGCAGCAACGCCGCGUGAUCGAAGAAGGACUUAGGUUCGUAAAGAUCUGUCGUAGGGGAAGAAUAAUCAAUAUUCUAACACAAUAUUGAUCUGACGGUACCUUAUAAGAAAGCUCCGGCUAACUUCGUGCCAGCAGCCGCGGUAAUACGAGGGGAGCAAGCGUUGUUCGGAUUUAUUGGGCGUAAAGGGCUCGUAGGCGGAUUGAUUAGUCAAGAUUUAAAUCCAAUGGCUUAACCAUUGAUCUGGUUUUGAUACUGUCAAUCUUGAGUUAUAUAGAGGUAAGCGGAAUUCCUGGUGUAGCGGUGAAAUGCGUAGAUAUCAGGAGGAACACCAAAGGCGAAGGCAGCUUACUGGAUUUAUACUGACACUGAGGAGCGAAAGCGUGGGUAGCGAACAGGAUUAGAGACCCUGGUAGUCCACGCCGUAAACGAUGAGCACUAGGUGGUGGGGGAUUCGACCCUUUCACUGCUGCAGUUAACGCAUUAAGUGCUCCGCCUGGGGACUACGAUCGCAAGAUUGAAACUCAAAGGAAUUGACGGGGACCCGCACAAGCGGUGGAACAUGUGGUUUAAUUCGAUGAUACGCGAAGAACCUUACC